Long non-coding RNA from Polyodon spathula (Mississippi paddlefish), 998 nucleotides. RefSeq lists it as uncharacterized. Lineage: Eukaryota; Metazoa; Chordata; Actinopteri; Acipenseriformes; Polyodontidae. The record is from RefSeq and is a predicted model, not a curated record. The transcript is spliced from 8 exons.
CGCCUCUGGACACAGGAAUGCAACAGCCGACCUCUCUCUGCGGGACCCGGUGACUGCUCCGCGCAAAGGAAAGCUGCGCAAGAUUUAAACAACUGAGCCACAAGCGUAAUCCGAGCCAAUCGCUGAAGGGAUGGAGGGGGAGCUACCCAGCAUCCCUGUGUUCUGGAGGAAGUUGUGUUGGGUUUGCAGUAAAGAGAAGGGCAGCCCGUGUUGGUGAGCCGAGCAGAAGCAGCAGAGGCAGGGGGAGGACGCUCCUCACAGGCAGGAUCACGCACACCCAUAGCACGAAAUGGCAGGGACAGAAAAUAACGAAAGAACAAGUAGAUCCAGCGGGGAAGCAAACGGGGCAGAGCGCAGGGGAGAAAGAAGAAACGUUUCAGCCAAGUUAGGGAUGUAUUCCAAGCAAUGGGAGAAAGACAAGAGGUGAAUGCCGCCUUCUAGCAGAUUUGUCGCAUUUGCAUGAAGAGCAUUUGUCGUCUGGGAGACUAGCAGCAGCUGGGAUGUCCGAUGCAAGAAGAAAUCUUCCUAAUAUAAAGAAGUCUUCAGGUUCAACUGAUUUUAAAAGUCGAGCACUGCGCUGCUGAUUUGCAAGAUAUUUUCGGUCAAGAAGAUAUUCACGAACAAGACUACUUGACCCUGUACAACUGAGGAGAUUCUCAAGUGGAGACUACUGGUAUGUCACCAAGAUGGCGCCUCCUUUAUCUGUGAUUUUGGGACAACUAUCAUAUGGCAAGGCUGAUUUCAUUGACUCAAAAUGGAUUCUGUUGAUAAACUGCAUUUGUACAUGCCAUGUUUUUUAUAAGAUUAAUUUCAUAUUUGGAAGCUAUUUUAAAUCUACAAAAAAAUGCAAUGGCUAUUUGUCUGAAUUGCAAAAGUGUGUAACUGAAUAUUUGAAUCAUUUUUCAUGGGGAGAUGUCUUGAACUCUGUAUACUUGAAGCAUACAAAUAUUUUGUUGGAUUGCUCUGAAGGAUACAAAAUAAAAUAUAAUUAAUUUAAA